RNAcentral lists this ribosomal RNA (254 nucleotides) under uncultured bacterium. RNAcentral describes it as "partial 16S ribosomal RNA". It matches the Rfam family "Bacterial small subunit ribosomal RNA", at positions 524 to 776 of the family's 1533-position model. The record is from RNAcentral.
UACGAGUGGUCCAAGCAUUAUCCGGAAUUAUUGGGCGUAAAGGGUGUGUAGGUGGUAUAGUUAGUCUUUUGUCAAAGCUCCCGGCUUAACCGGGAGAAGGCGAAAGAUACGGCUAAACUAGGAGGGUGUAAGAGGCUUGCGGAACUCAUGGUGUAGGGGUGAAAUCCGUUGAUAUCAUGGGGAACGCCAAAUGCGAGGGCAGCAGGCUGGUACAUACCUGACACUGGAACACGAAAGCGUGGGUAGCGAACGGG